This is a non-coding RNA of Macaca mulatta (Rhesus monkey), 227 nucleotides long. Lineage: Eukaryota; Metazoa; Chordata; Mammalia; Primates; Cercopithecidae. The record is from RefSeq and is a predicted model, not a curated record.
UUGCUGAGCAAAAAUGAAGGAGCCUGGACCCAACUUUGUUACUGUGAGAAAGGGUCUUCAUUCAUUCAAGAUGGCUUUUGUGAAGCACCUACUUCAUCGUGGAAGAUGAAGGCUGGCUCAUACAUUUUCCCAGACAGGAAUUUGGCUGCCAACAGGGAAUUCUGAACAACUGAAAACUCCAGAUGAAUGCACAACAUAAUGAUGGUUAAAUUAAAAAAAAAAAAAAA